UGAGUGUCAAGAGUCAUGACUAGAGCUUCUUCUGGUUUAUCCUAGUUUAUAUUCUUUUUCCCUGCUCACAAUAUCAUUUCUUUAGCUUCUUCUAUUUCCUUUUCUUAUUUCUUCUAUAGAAGAAAAAUUGUAGAUAGCAUGAGAAAGGAAUCAUUGCAUAAUUAAAGAUAUUUUAGAGUCUAAAAUAUACCUAAGUUAUUGUGUGAUGCAUACAUGAUACAAUUCCUUAAAAUCAUGUAAACAAAGAUGAAUACUAGGGUCACAUUGGAUCAACUAACUAAUCUAAAUAAUCCAACUAAAAACAAUUUAACCCGAGAAGGUA
Molecule: long non-coding RNA, 322 nt
Filed under: Elaeis guineensis (African oil palm)
Lineage: Eukaryota; Viridiplantae; Streptophyta; Magnoliopsida; Arecales; Arecaceae
Description: long non-coding RNA (EGUI_LNC001893)
Source: RNAcentral